UACGUAGGGUCCGAGCGUUGUCCGGAAUUAUUGGGCGUAAAGAGCUUGUAGGCGGUUUGUCGCGUCUGCUGUGAAAUUUCGGGGCUCAACCCCGAACUUGCAGUGGGUACGGGCAGACUAGAGUGUGGUAGGGGAGACUGGAAUUCCUGGUGUAGCGGUGAAAUGCGCAGAUAUCAGGAGGAACACCGAUGGCGAAGGCAGGUCUCUGGGCCAUAACUGACGCUGAGAAGCGAAAGCAUGGGGAGCGAACAGG
Molecule: ribosomal RNA, 253 nt
Filed under: uncultured bacterium
Lineage: Bacteria
Description: partial 16S ribosomal RNA
Rfam family: Bacterial small subunit ribosomal RNA
Source: RNAcentral